GUGCAGAAGAACCAGCAACUAAUACUUCUCAGGUCAUACUCACCUGAGAAGCACAGUGCCAGGCACACUCAUCUUUUUCAAGGUGGUCAACCAGAAAGCAGUCAGUUCACUGCCUCUGUACGUGAAGUAUCUCUGAGGAAAAACCCAUUAAGCCUGGUGUUCACUAUGGCAGGCCUGCCUGGAACUCAUCUUUCAUGAGUCAUGUGCAAACUCCUCCAACUGAUGGUUCUGGAUCCUUGCAGACCUUCCCCCUCCGGUGUGACUGAGGGAUGGAAAACUGGAGGAAGAAGAGAGGCUGAAGGAAGAGGUUGCCAGACACUGAUUCAGCUGUGAAGCUGCUAGCCCCACACAGUUGGCUCCAGAGAGGCAAACUACAAAAAUGUGGCUGAAAAAGAUGAUGUGCAUAAAAGAAUCCACAUGCCUCAUAUGUACUUUCAGCUAAAAGACACAGAGGGACCUUCCAAAGUCCAGGUACUUUCCUGUUGAUAGCAAAUGGUGCAGUAUGGCAUAUAAGAUAAGUAAUGAUAAAACGUCCCGGAGAGUUGUAUUAAGACCUUGUUUACUCCUCUUUAGAGGUUAGCCUUCAAGGCAGUAUAGGUUCCAAACAUUUUGUAAACAUCCAGUGACUUAUAAAAUGUGAUAAAAUAAAACUGAGAAAUUACAUGAAGGGCAGGGUUUGGAGGAC
RNAcentral lists this long non-coding RNA (685 nucleotides) under Homo sapiens (human). Its description in RNAcentral is "HSALNT0126260". Lineage: Eukaryota; Metazoa; Chordata; Mammalia; Primates; Hominidae. The record is from RNAcentral.